GAUGAACGCUAGCGGCAGGCCUAACACAUGCAAGUCGAGGGGCAUCGCGGUGCAGCAAGUGCACUGGCGGCGACCGGCGUACGGGUGCGUAACGCGUAUGCAACCUGCCCCGCACCGGGGGAUAGCCCGCCGAAAGGCGGAUUAAUACCCCAUGGUCCCGGGGGCCCGCAUGGGCAUCCGGGUAAAGCCUUGGCGGUGCGGGAUGGGCAUGCGUGCCAUUAGCUGGCUGGUGGGGUAACGGCCCACCAGGGCAACGAUGGCUAGGGGGUCUGAGAGGAUGGUCCCCCACACUGGUACUGAGACACGGACCAGACUCCUACGGGAGGCAGCAGUGAGGAAUAUUGGUCAAUGGGCGGAAGCCUGAACCAGCCAUGCCGCGUGCGGGAUGAAGGCCCUACGGGUUGUAAACCGCUUUUCCCCGGGAAGAAUAAGCCCCCCGCGGGGGGUGAUGCCGGUACCGGGGGAAUAAGGAUCGGCUAACUCCGUG
RNAcentral lists this ribosomal RNA (487 nucleotides) under uncultured bacterium. RNAcentral describes it as "bacterial SSU rRNA". It matches the Rfam family "Bacterial small subunit ribosomal RNA", at positions 28 to 507 of the family's 1533-position model. The record is from RNAcentral.